AGAGCGAACGCUGGCGGCAGGCUUAACACAUGCAAGUCGAGCGCCCCGCAAGGGGAGCGGCAGACGGGAGAGUAACACGUGGGAACGUACCUUUCGGUUCGGAACAACCCAGGGAAACUUGGGCUAAUACCGGAUACGUCCGUAAGGAGAAAGAUUUAUCGCCGAAAGAUCGGCCCGCGUCUGAUUAGCUAGUUGGUGAGGUAACGGCUCACCAAGGCGACGAUCAGUAGCUGGUCUGAGAGGAUGAUCAGCCUCACUGGGACUGAGACACGGCCCAGACUCCUACGGGAGGCAGCAGUGGGGAAUAUUGGACAAUGGGCGCAAGCCUGAUCCAGCCAUGCCGCGUGGGUGAUGAAGGCCCUAGGGUUGUAAAGCCCUUUCGGGCGGGAAGAUAAUGACGGUACCCGCAGAAGAAGCCCGGCUAACUUCGCGCCAGCAGCGC
RNAcentral lists this ribosomal RNA (442 nucleotides) under uncultured bacterium. RNAcentral's name for it is "SSU rRNA". It matches the Rfam family "Bacterial small subunit ribosomal RNA", at positions 26 to 518 of the family's 1533-position model. The record is from RNAcentral.